CCUACGGGAGGCUGCAGUGAGGAAUAUUGGUCAAUGGGCGCGAGCCUGAACCAGCCAAGUCGCGUGAGGGAUGACGGCCCUACGGGUUGUAAACCUCUUUUGCCGGGGAGCAACGGGCGCCACGUGUGGCGCCACUGAGAGUACCCGGAGAAAAAGCAUCGGCUAAUUCCGUGCCAGCAGCCGCGGUAAUACGGAGGAUGCGAGGGUUAUCCGGAUUUAUUGGGGUUAAAGGGUGCGUAGGCGGAGCGUUAAGUCAGUGGUCAAAUUGAGGGGCUCAACCCCUUCCCGCCAUUGAAACUGGCGGUCUGGAGGGUAAGAGAAGUAUGCGGAAGGCGUGGUGGAGCGGUGAAAUGGAUAGAAAUCCCGCAGAAACCCGAUGGCGAAGGCAGCAUGCCGGCUUCCGAAUGACGCUGAAGCACGAAAGCGUGGGGAUCGAACAGGAUUAGAGACCCCGGUAGUC
RNAcentral lists this ribosomal RNA (460 nucleotides) under uncultured bacterium. RNAcentral describes it as "partial 16S ribosomal RNA". It matches the Rfam family "Bacterial small subunit ribosomal RNA", at positions 338 to 795 of the family's 1533-position model. The record is from RNAcentral.